Molecule: long non-coding RNA, 234 nt
Filed under: Lathyrus oleraceus (garden pea)
Lineage: Eukaryota; Viridiplantae; Streptophyta; Magnoliopsida; Fabales; Fabaceae
Description: Pisum sativum (pea) long non-coding RNA (PSAT_LNC003227)
Source: RNAcentral
GGAAAGGAGUGAUAGCUGGGACGACAUAUUUUUGAGGAGAAUUUGGUUAGAAUAAUUUUUUCUUUCCUAAAAUUAUGUUCCUAAGGGGACAGAUGUCGAACACAAUUUCCUAGACAACUGGUUCAGAAGUAUAAACUAGAAGAACAACAAUUAAUACAAAUUAAGUUGUACAAGAUGAUGGAGUAGAAAAGCAAUAAAUAACAAAACCAAUUCGAUGCAAACAUCACCCGCGUU